This 496-nucleotide ribosomal RNA is filed under the name uncultured bacterium. RNAcentral's name for it is "partial 16S ribosomal RNA". It matches the Rfam family "Bacterial small subunit ribosomal RNA", at positions 28 to 507 of the family's 1533-position model. The record is from RNAcentral.
GAUGAACGCUGGCGGCGUGCCUAAUACAUGCAAGUCGAGCGAACAGACGAGGAGCUUGCUCCUCUGGCGUUAGCGGCGGACGGGUGAGUAACACGUGGAUAACCUACCUAUAAGACUGGAUAACCUCGGGAAACCGGAGCUAAUACCGGAUAAUAUAUUGAACCGCAUGGUUCAAUAGUGAAAGACGGUUUUGCUGUCACUUAUAGAUGGAUCCGCGCCGCAUUAGCUAGUUGGUAAGGUAACGGCUUACCAAGGCAACGAUGCGUAGCCGACCUGAGAGGGUGAUCGGCCACACUGGAACUGAGACACGGUCCAGACUCCUACGGGAGGCAGCAGUAGGGAAUCUUCCGCAAUGGGCGAAAGCCUGACGGAGCAACGCCGCGUGAGUGAUGAAGGUCUUCGGAUCGUAAAACUCUGUUAUUAGGGAAGAACAAAUGUGUAAGUAACUAUGCACGUCUUGACGGUACCUAAUCAGAAAGCCACGGCUAACUACGUG